AUGUGUGCAUUCGCCUACAUGUACAUGUGUGUGUGCACGUGGUACACAUGUGCGAUUGGCAAGCGUGUGCACACAUAUGUAUAUGGGCACAUGUAUAUGCAGGCAUGUAUGCACGUUUGGGCACAUAUAUGUACAGGCAUGUAUGCACACGUGGGUGUGCAUGUAUAUUAUAUGAGCACACGUGUGCGUCCACUUACAGGCAUGUGUGCAUGUAUGUGUGUUUGGCGUGUGCGUAUUUGUUACGUAUAUGUGGCCACACACGGAUACAGGUAUGUGUACACAUGUGCACGCAUGCUUGCCCAGAUACAGACCUGCACGCCUCCCUGCCCUCCAUCCCGCCUUUGGGGUCUCCAUCACCGCUGCUUGUUGAUACGUCUUGAAAAGGUCCAGGCUGGCGGGCAUGUCCUGCUGCCCAGGUGGGCAGGAGUGGGAACAGCAUAUCUGGGCCUUCUCCAGGUUUCCUCUGUCAGCCCGGAGGAGGGCAAUCACGACGCAAUUUCUUACAAUAAUGAUACCUCACAUUGCAUAAUCGUUCAUGUCCUUCAAAAUAUUGAAAAUCGUAGCACAGAAAGUUUGAAGGGUUCCACAGCAACUCAGCACCACGAAGUCAGCCACGGCCCCACACGUCGACGGCUCAGUUGGGUGACAUGGCCGGCCCCGGGGACGCCUCUUUCUGCUGACGUUCAUCCACAUCCACAUCCAGAGCUUCUCGGUGUCCAGGAGAUGCUGCCAGCUCCUGGCCCCAGGAUGGGUGUGAGGCUGUGGCCCCGGGGUGAAAAGCUACAUCUCCCACGGCAGAUAGCCACCAUCACGGCUGUUAGAUGCCUGCGGACCGGACAAUGCAUCUAAAGGAAAACGGACCCAGGCGGGAAGACCAGCGGCCGCCCGAGUGUUGGCAGAAGCAGGCCCGUUGCUGAAUCGUGAUGUUUGUAGAAAUCGCUGUUUUAGCCACUGUUGGCUCCUCUCAAACUCCUGACCGACCCCAAGAGCUGCCGGGAAGCCCCUUCCCCUGCGACUCCUCAGGGACACGGGCUCCGGCUGCAGCCUCAAGUGACCCCUUUGCAGGAGUCCAAGAAAAGAGAAGCUGCUUCUGUGGAUUUCUGUCCUAGAUGAAGCCACAGCGGCAGGAAGUGGUAGCUGGCUGCUCCCAGGGUCUGUUUGGCUGGGACAAGAGGUCUCAAAGCUGUCCCUGGGAAGGAGCUUAGGCGGUGCUGAGCUGAUGUUCAGGGGGGCGGAGGGAGAGACAGGGAAAAAGCUUAGGCAGUGCUGAGCUGAUUUUCGGGGGGGCAGAGGGAGAGACAGGGCCGGAGACACGGGGAACACGGUCCAGAGGCAGCGGGGAGCAGUGGGAGGGAGAGCCAGAUCCUUUGCGACACUGGCUGUGGGCUGGGACAACGGGGAGGGUGAGGCAGUCCCAGCUCUCAGGGCCUCUGGCCCAGGAUGGGGUGUGAGAUGGCCAAGCUGCCGUGGGGCCGCCCAGGAGGAGGAGAAGCAAACCCAUCGGGGAGGGCUCACGGGCCUGGUGGUAUCUGCAGAGGCUCCUGAAGGGUGUGUGAGAGUGUCCAGGAAGGGUGCUUGGAGGGAGCCCUGGGCGAGUGGCCGGCACGAACAAAGGCCUAGGGUGCCCAGAGCCCUGUGUGGGUCGGAGCUGGGUCUUUCCAGGUCAGGGUUAAGGUUCGGGCUGUGUCUCUUUUCCACAGCCCUUGAGAGCGUAAGAUUUCCGCAAAUGUAGCUUGCAUGGUUUCUGACAGUCAGAAAUAAUCCACAUGGUAGGCUUUCUGUAAUCCUGUACUUUAAAAUUGGCAUCACAGACCAGUGCCCCUGCAGAGAGCAGCCUGGGCCUCCAAAUGGAGGAGCCUGCUGGGGAAUGAGCUGUCUCGGGGGUCCACACUGGAGGAGCCACACCCAGGCUGGAAAGCCUCUAUGCAUAGCGGGCCCCGGAGCCGCAGGUCCCUGGUGCAGGGGGUGGAGGUCAGGCAGGCCCUGGGCAGCCAACUGCUGCCCGAAGCCCACCCUGAGGAGGGAGGGAGGCAGAAGAGGAGGCAGGACAGAUCCCUUGGGGGAGGCAAAGCCACUUCCCCAGACCCAGCAGUGCCCAUAUCUGGGGGACCCCAGGAAGGGCCGGCACUUCGUGGACACCCCUCCGGCCAGGCCCUUGGUUCCAAGUUCACACCGGCUCCCUGUGGAAUGGUCUGACGGACAGGAGUCUGACCUGGAGAAUCCAUGCCUCUCACACAUGGAGCUGGGCAACAGCUGGGACCUGCCCCGCUCAGCCUCAGGCUCCCCGGAGGCUCCCCUGCCACAAGAGGGGCUGUCCCGGGUGCUUCGAGUGGAGUGAGCUAGAGGGAGUGGGACAGUAGGGCCGCCUGGGAGAGCCGGCCUUGCCCACCACCUGGCCGGAGCUGGACUGACGUCGGCUGGCUCCAAGUCCAGGAGGACACUCAUGAACUCUGAGCUACUCAGAGGGUACGAGUCCUGCUGCAACACAGUGGUCUUUACAAAGUGUGAAUGAACUGAAACUUCAUAAAUCAUCUAAAUUUACAAUAUCCAAACAGAACUACCUCUUUUUAAGAUUUAUUUAUUUAGUUAUCGAGAGAGGGUCUCGCUCUGUCACCAGGCUGGGUGCAAUCGUGGCUGACUGCAGCCGCGAACUCUCAGACCCAG
RNAcentral lists this long non-coding RNA (2664 nucleotides) under Macaca mulatta (Rhesus monkey). Its description in RNAcentral is "lncRNA (ENSMMUG00000060168.1)". Lineage: Eukaryota; Metazoa; Chordata; Mammalia; Primates; Cercopithecidae. The record is from RNAcentral.